UACAGAGGGGGCAAGCGUUGUUCGGAAUUACUGGGCGUAAAGGGCGCGUAGGCGGCCUUCUAAGUCGAACGUGAAAUCCCCGGGCUCAACCUGGGAACUGCGUCCGAUACUGGCAGGCUUGAAUUCGGGAGAGGGAUGCGGAAUUCCAGGUGUAGCGGUGAAAUGCGUAGAUAUCUGGAGGAACACCGGUGGCGAAGGCGGCAUCCUGGACCGAGAUUGACGCUGAGGCGCGAAAGCCAGGGGAGCAAACGGG
Molecule: ribosomal RNA, 253 nt
Filed under: uncultured bacterium
Lineage: Bacteria
Description: partial 16S ribosomal RNA
Rfam family: Bacterial small subunit ribosomal RNA
Source: RNAcentral